AUGGCUCAGGAUGAACGCUAGCUACAGGCUUAACACAUGCAAGUCGAGGGAAACGAUAUUGGAAGCUUGCUUCCGAUAGGCGUCGACCGGCGCACGGGUGAGUAACGCGUAUCCAACCUGCCCAUCACUUGGGGAUAACCUUGCGAAAGUAAGACUAAUACCCAAUGAUAUCUCUAGAAGACAUCUGAAAGAGAUUAAAGAUUUAUCGGUGAUGGAUGGGGAUGCGUCUGAUUAGCUUGUUGGCGGGUAACGGCCCACCAAGGCGACGAUCAGUAGGGUUCUGAGAGGAAGGUCCCCCACAUUGGAACUGAGACACGGUCCAAACUCCUACGGGAGGCAGCAGUGAGGAAUAUUGGUCAAUGGGCGAGAGCCUGAACCAGCCAAGUAGCGUGCAGGAUGACGGCCUAUGGGUUGUAAACUGCUUUAUAAGGGAAUAAAGUGAGUCUCGUGAGACUUUUGCAUGUACCUUAUGAAUAAGGACCGGCUAAUUCCGUG
Molecule: ribosomal RNA, 495 nt
Filed under: uncultured bacterium
Lineage: Bacteria
Description: bacterial SSU rRNA
Rfam family: Bacterial small subunit ribosomal RNA
Source: RNAcentral